GACAGAGGGUGCAAACGUUGUUCGGAAUCACUGGGCGUAAAGGGAGCGUAGGCGGCGCGGUAAGUCAGAUGUGAAAUCCCGGGGCUCAACCCCGGAACUGCAUCCGAUACUGCCGUGCUAGAGGAUUGGAGAGGUAGCUGGAAUUCUUGGUGUAGCAGUGAAAUGCGUGGAGAUCAAGAGGAACACUCGUGGCGAAAGCGAGCUACUGGACAAUAUCUGACGCUGAGGCUCGAAGGCCAGGGUAGCGAAAGGG
RNAcentral lists this ribosomal RNA (253 nucleotides) under uncultured bacterium. Its description in RNAcentral is "partial 16S ribosomal RNA". It matches the Rfam family "Bacterial small subunit ribosomal RNA", at positions 524 to 776 of the family's 1533-position model. The record is from RNAcentral.